UGGUUCAGGCGGCCCCCUCCUCCUUCCAAGGGACGUCUAUAGGAACGGCGGCACUCCUCCCAGUCGCUGUUCGCUUUUUUUGAGAAAGCCUGCCGCACCUCCUCCCGCGGCAGGCUUUUUCG
This is a small RNA of 122 nucleotides. It matches the Rfam family "Alphaproteobacterial ar14". From Rfam's summary of the family: Smr14C2 was renamed NfeR1 (Nodule Formation Efficiency RNA) highly expressed in salt stress and during the symbiotic interaction on legume roots.